Molecule: ribosomal RNA, 579 nt
Filed under: Metschnikowia koreensis
Lineage: Eukaryota; Fungi; Ascomycota; Pichiomycetes; Serinales; Metschnikowiaceae
Description: partial large subunit ribosomal RNA
Rfam family: Eukaryotic large subunit ribosomal RNA
Source: RNAcentral
CCUCAGUAACGGCGAGUGAAGCGGCAAAAGCUCAAAUUUGAAAUCCUCCGGGAAUUGUAAUUUGAAGGUGGGGUUGAAUAGGUCUAGAUACUUUAAGUCCAUUGGAAAAUGGCGCCAUGGAGGGUGAUAGCCCCGUAAAAGUAUUAACGCCUUCUUUUCUUCCCCUCCUAAGAGUCGAGUUGUUUGGGAAUGCAGCUCUAAGUGGGUGGUAAAUUCCAUCUAAAGCUAAAUAUUGGCGAGAGACCGAUAGCGAACAAGUACAGUGAUGGAAAGAUGAAAAGCACUUUGAAAAGAGAGUGAAAAAGUACGUGAAAUUGUUGAAAGGGAAGGGCUUGCAAGCAGACACAACCUCGGUUGGGCCAGCAUCGGAGUGGGGGGAGACAAAAAAGGUUAAGAAUGUAGCUCCCUUUAGAGUAUUAUAUCCUGGCCCUAUAUCUCCACCCCCUUCCGAGGCCUGCGAUUCUUCAAGGAUGCUGGCGUAAUGGUUGCAAGUCGCCCGUCUUGAAACACGGACCAAGGAGUCUAACGUCUAUGCGAGUGUUUGAGUACCAAACCCAAACGCGCAAUGAAAGUAAUAAG